GGAUGAGGAGGGGAUGAAGGAGGAUGAGGAGGGGAUGAAGGAGGAUGAGGAGGGGAUGAAGGAGGAUGAGGAGGGGAUGAAGGAGGAUGAGGAGGGGAUGAAGGAGGAUGAGGAGGGGAUGAAGGAGGAUGAGGAGGGGAUGAAGGAGGAUGAGGAGGGGAUGAAGGAGGAUGAGGAGGGGAAGAAGAAGGAGGAGGAUGAGGAGGGGAUGAAGGAGGGUGAGAAGGAGAGGGAGGAGGAUGAGGGGAUGAAGAAGGAGGAGAGGAGGCAGGAGGAUGAGGAGUGGAUGAAGGAGGAUGAGGAGGGGAUGAAGGAGGAGGAGGAGGGGAUGAAGGAGGAGGAGGAGGGGAUGAAGGAGGAGGAGGAGGGGAUGAAGGAGGAGGAGGAGGGGAUGAAGGAGGAGGAGGAGGGGAUGAAGGAGGAGGAGGAGGGGAUGAAGGAGGAGGAGGAGGGGAUGAAGGAGGAGGAGGAGGGGAUGAAGGAGGAGGAGGAGGGGAUGAAGGAGGAGGAGGAGGGGAUGAAGGAGGAGGAGGAGGGGAUGAAGGAGGAGGAGGAGGGGAUGAAGGAGGAGGAGGAGGGGAUGAAGGAGGAGGAGGAGGGGAUGAAGGAGGAGGAGGAGGGGAUGAAGGAGGAUGAGGAGGGGAUGAAGGAGGGUGAGAAGGAGAGGGAGGAGGAGAAGGGGAUGAAGAAGGAGGAGGGGAGGGAGGAGGAUGAGGAGGGGAUGGAGGAGAAGGAAGAAGAGGGGAUGGAGGGGAGGAAGAAGACACCACCCCGUAUGUCCUGGCGUGUCCAUGUACCCCCACCACGUCGCUGUGCCCUUGUCCCCGCACACACGUCCCCUUCACCCCAGUGCCACGUGUGUGUCCUCAUCCCUGUGUCCUCACACGUGUCCCUGCACCCCCGACCCACAUGCAUCCGUGUCCCAUGUCCCAUGUGUGUCCCCGCAGCCCCAGGUGUCCCCAGACAUGUCCCCUGUCCCCGCACACGCGUGUCCCACAUAUGUCCUGGUGUCCCCAGGCCAGUCCGUGUCCCCCCCGGCCACACACGUCCCCACACGUGUCCAUGUCUCCUGUCCCUGCACACGUCCCAUGUGUGGCCCCACGCGUUCCCAUGUCCCCACACCACGUGUUCCCACACGUCUGUGUCCCCGCACGCCCGUGGCACAUGUCCCCUGUCCCCACAGACGUGUCCCGCAUGUGUCCAGGUGCCCCCGGGCCGGUCUGUGCCGCCCCCCCCGUGUCCCCACCCCACACNNNN
RNAcentral lists this long non-coding RNA (1257 nucleotides) under Struthio camelus australis. Its description in RNAcentral is "lncRNA (ENSSCUG00000000237.1)". The record is from RNAcentral. Lineage: Eukaryota; Metazoa; Chordata; Aves; Struthioniformes; Struthionidae.